GACGAACGCUGGCGGCGUGCUUAACACAUGCAAGUCGAACGGAAAGACCCUGCUUUUGUGGGGUGCUCGAGUGGCGAACGGGUGAGUAACACGUGAGUAACCUGCCCUUGACUUUGGGAUAACUUCAGGAAACUGGGGCUAAUACCGGAUAGGAGCUCCUGCUGCAUGGUGGGGGUUGGAAAGUUUCGGCGGUUGGGGAUGGACUCGCGGCUUAUCAGCUUGUUGGUGGGGUAGUGGCUUACCAAGGCUUUGACGGGUAGCCGGCCUGAGAGGGUGACCGGCCACAUUGGGACUGAGAUACGGCCCAGACUCCUACGGGAGGCAGCAGUGGGGAAUAUUGCACAAUGGGCGGAAGCCUGAUACAGCAACGCCGCGUGCGGGAUGACGGCCUUCGGGUUGUAAACCGCUUUCGCCUGUGACGAAGCGUGAGUGACGGUAAUGGGUAAAGAAGCACCGGCUAACUACGUG
Molecule: ribosomal RNA, 468 nt
Filed under: uncultured bacterium
Lineage: Bacteria
Description: partial 16S ribosomal RNA
Rfam family: Bacterial small subunit ribosomal RNA
Source: RNAcentral